RNAcentral lists this ribosomal RNA (638 nucleotides) under Ligia cinerascens. RNAcentral's name for it is "partial large subunit ribosomal RNA". It matches the Rfam family "Eukaryotic large subunit ribosomal RNA", at positions 363 to 776 of the family's 3401-position model. Lineage: Eukaryota; Metazoa; Arthropoda; Malacostraca; Isopoda; Ligiidae. The record is from RNAcentral.
GUUGAAAAGAACUUUGAAAAGAGAGUUCAACAGAGCGUGAAACUACCACGAGGUUAAAGCGGAUGGACAAACGUAAAUCGAAAAGACGGAUUCAGCUCUUUCUCGUAGGUACCUCCUCCGACGACGUUUCGGUCGUUUCGCGGCUCCGUUCGCGGCGCGGUCGUCUCGCUCGCUCGGUAGGUGGAUACUUCCCGAGAGGGUGUAAUUCCGAUCUCAGUAGAUCAUCGCGGCUGUUGGAUACGUUGUCUGAAGGUUCGAGGGCCCGGGACCCGUCCUGCGAUUCCAAUCCUCUCUUCAACCUUUUUGGAGGCGCCCGAGGAGAAAUGGGAUUCGGUCGUGGGGCGGUGACGCUUCGUUUUCCUGACGGACGUUCCGACAGUGAGUUUAGCUCUAACGGUAUGGGCGAUGGCGGUCUUUAUAUAGACUUAGCCGCAGUGUCUGAACUAAAUAGACACCGAUGUACCUCACCGUCUCGCGUUGAAAAUUCAACGAUCGUUCAUCCGUCCCGUCUUGAAACACGGACCAAGGAGUCUGACCAGUACGCGAGUCAAAGGGUAUUCACUAAACCCCUGGGCGAAACGAAAGUGAGUUCGUAAAGUGAGUUCGCACAUGUCGAACAACAACAACAGCAGCGGCGA